This is a transfer RNA of 74 nucleotides. It matches the Rfam family "tRNA". Rfam says of the family: Transfer RNA (tRNA) molecules are approximately 80 nucleotides in length. Their secondary structure includes four short double-helical elements and three loops (D, anti-codon, and T loops). Further hydrogen bonds mediate the characteristic L-shaped molecular structure. tRNAs have two regions of fundamental functional importance: the anti-codon, which is responsible for specific mRNA codon recognition, and the 3' end, to which the tRNAs corresponding amino acid is attached (by aminoacyl-tRNA synthetases). tRNAs cope with the degeneracy of the genetic code in two manners: having more than one tRNA (with a specific anti-codon) for a particular amino acid; and 'wobble' base-pairing, i.e. permitting non-standard base-pairing at the 3rd anti-codon position.
GCGCCUAUAGCUCAAUUGGAUAGAGCACCAGACUUCGAAUCUGGGGGUUGGGGGUUCGAGUCCCUCUAGGCGCG